GACGAACGCUGGCGGCGUGCCUAAUACAUGCAAGUCGAGCGGACAGAUGGGAGCUUGCUCCCUGAUGUUAGCGGCGGACGGGUGAGUAACACGUGGGUAACCUGCCUGUAAGACUGGGAUAACUCCGGGAAACCGGGGCUAAUACCGGAUGGUUGUUUGAACCGCAUGAUUCAGACAUAAAAGGUGGCUUCGGCUACCACUUACAGAUGGACCCGCGGCGCAUUAGCUAGUUGGUGAGGUAACGGCUCACCAAGGCGACGAUGCGUAGCCGACCUGAGAGGGUGAUCGGCCACACUGGGACUGAGACACGGCCCAGACUCCUACGGGAGGCAGCAGUAGGGAAUCUUCCGCAAUGGACGAAAGUCUGACGGAGCAACGCCGCGUGAGUGAUGAAGGUUUUCGGAUCGUAAAGCUCUGUUGUUAGGGAAGAACAAGUGCCGUUCAAAUAGGGCGGCACCUUGACGGUACCUAACCAGAAAGCCACGGCUAACUACGUGCCAGCAGCCGCGGUAAUACGUAGGUGGCAAGCGUUGUCCGGAAUUAUUGGGCGUAAAGGGCUCGCAGGCGGUUUCUUAAGUCUGAUGUGAAAGCCCCCGGCUCAACCGGGGAGGGUCAUUGGAAACUGGGGAACUUGAGUGCAGAAGAGGAGAGUGGAAUUCCACGUGUAGCGGUGAAAUGCGUAGAGAUGUGGAGGAACACCAGUGGCGAAGGCGACUCUCUGGUCUGUAACUGACGCUGAGGAGCGAAAGCGUGGGGAGCGAACAGGAUUAGAUACCCUGGUAGUCCACGCCGUAAACGAUGAGUGCUAAGUGUUAGGGGGUUUCCGCCCCUUAGUGCUGCAGCUAACGCAUUAAGCACUCCGCCUGGGGAGUACGGUCGCAAGACUGAAACUCAAAGGAAUUGACGGGGGCCCGCACAAGCGGUGGAGCAUGUGGUUUAAUUCGAAGCAACGCGAAGAACCUUACCAGGUCUUGACAUCCUCUGACAAUCCUAGAGAUAGGACGUCCCCUUCGGGGGCAGAGUGACAGGUGGUGCAUGGUUGUCGUCAGCUCGUGUCGUGAGAUGUUGGGUUAAGUCCCGCAACGAGCGCAACCCUUGAUCUUAGUUGCCAGCAUUCAGUUGGGCACUCUAAGGUGACUGCCGGUGACAAACCGGAGGAAGGUGGGGAUGACGUCAAAUCAUCAUGCCCCUUAUGACCUGGGCUACACACGUGCUACAAUGGACAGAACAAAGGGCAGCGAAACCGCGAGGUUAAGCCAAUCCCACAAAUCUGUUCUCAGUUCGGAUCGCAGUCUGCAACUCGACUGCGUGAAGCUGGAAUCGCUAGUAAUCGCGGAUCAGCAUGCCGCGGUGAAUACGUCCCCGGGCCUUGUACACACCGCCCGUCACACCACGAGAGUUUGUAACACCCG
Molecule: ribosomal RNA, 1412 nt
Filed under: Bacillus subtilis
Lineage: Bacteria; Bacillati; Bacillota; Bacilli; Caryophanales; Bacillaceae
Description: bacterial SSU rRNA
Rfam family: Bacterial small subunit ribosomal RNA
Source: RNAcentral